Molecule: unclassified non-coding RNA, 259 nt
Filed under: Glomeraceae sp.
Lineage: Eukaryota; Fungi; Glomeromycota; Glomeromycetes; Glomerales; Glomeraceae
Description: partial contains 5.8S ribosomal RNA and internal transcribed spacer 2
Rfam family: 5.8S ribosomal RNA (bases 1-65)
Source: RNAcentral
GUGAAUCAUCAAAUCUUUGAACGCAAAUUGCACUCUCCUCGGAGAGUAUGCCUGUUUGAGGGUCAGCCUAUAAAAAAUCGACAUCGUUGCUGUUUCGCGGUGGCGUUCGUCGGAAAUUGGGUCAUCUUAAAUCUUUUGGUUUUAAGCGACUUAAAAUUUUCUUUUUGGUUCCAUGAACGUUUCUAAGAUUUAUUUCUUUACACGUUUAAGGUAUCGAUUUUUUUUGGCGUUACCCAUAAUAUCGAAUCGCCCCAUUAAU